AUUGAACGCUGGCGGCAUGCUUUACACAUGCAAGUCGAACGGCAGCGCGGGCUUCGGCCUGGCGGCGAGUGGCGAACGGGUGAGUAAUACAUCGGAACGUGCCCAGUAGUGGGGGAUAGCUCGGCGAAAGCCGGAUUAAUACCGCAUACGACCUGAGGGUGAAAGCGGGGGAUCUUCGGACCUCGCGCUAUUGGAGCGGCCGAUGGCAGAUUAGCUAGUUGGUGGGGUAAAGGCCUACCAAGGCGACGAUCUGUAGCUGGUCUGAGAGGACGACCAGCCACACUGGGACUGAGACACGGCCCAGACUCCUACGGGAGGCAGCAGUGGGGAAUUUUGGACAAUGGGCGAAAGCCUGAUCCAGCAAAUGCCCGCGUGUGUGAAUGAAAGGGCCCUUUCGGGGUUGUAAAAGCCACUUUUGGCGGGAAACGAAAAGGG
This 435-nucleotide ribosomal RNA is filed under the name Lautropia mirabilis. RNAcentral describes it as "bacterial SSU rRNA". It matches the Rfam family "Bacterial small subunit ribosomal RNA", at positions 29 to 455 of the family's 1533-position model. Lineage: Bacteria; Pseudomonadati; Pseudomonadota; Betaproteobacteria; Burkholderiales; Burkholderiaceae. The record is from RNAcentral.